RNAcentral lists this ribosomal RNA (259 nucleotides) under Acidobacteriota bacterium. RNAcentral's name for it is "partial 16S ribosomal RNA". It matches the Rfam family "Bacterial small subunit ribosomal RNA", at positions 1 to 250 of the family's 1533-position model. Lineage: Bacteria; Pseudomonadati; Acidobacteriota. The record is from RNAcentral.
UAACAUGAGAGUUUGAUCCUGGCUCAGAAUCAACGCUGGCGGCGUGCCUAACACAUGCAAGUCGAACGCGAAAGCGGCUUCGGCCGUGAGUAGAGUGGCAAACGGGUGAGUAACGCGUGGGUGACCUACCUUCGAGUGGGGGAUAACGUUCCGAAAGGAACGCUAAUACCGCAUGUGGAUUUCGGUCGAUGGACUGAAAUCUAAAGGGGGCUCGCAAGAGCUCUCGCUAGUAGACGAGCCUGCGUCCCAUUAGCUAGUU